Molecule: transfer RNA, 546 nt
Filed under: uncultured cyanobacterium
Lineage: Bacteria; Bacillati; Cyanobacteriota
Description: 16S-23S ribosomal RNA intergenic spacer
Rfam family: tRNA (bases 208-280)
Source: RNAcentral
CAGGGAGACAACAAAACGUAAAUAUUAAUUUUGUCACCUUAGGUCGAUCGGUAUCUCAGAUUCUUAUUUUAAGGAUUUCAGUUUCUAAGUUUUUUCUAGGUCACACCCAUCACUUUUUCCUGGGCCAUUAGCUCAGGUGGUUAGAGCGCACCCCUGAUAAGGGUGAGGUCCCUGGUUCAAGUCCAGGAUGGCCCAUAUCUCUAUGUUGGGGGUAUAGCUCAGUUGGUAGAGCGCCUGCUUUGCAAGCAGGAUGUCAGCGGUUCGAGUCCGCUUACCUCCACUGAAUACCACCUCUUACAUGUUUUAAAGAGGGAAAUUGUUUUGAGUCGUGUCCUACUUUGCUCUGAGCGAAUCUAGCUUCCUAUUUUAGUUAAUAAAUAAGAUGCUGGACUCAUUGAAUUAUUUUCAUUGUUUUCAGAGAACCUUGACAACUGCAUAGAUUAUUUUUGAAGACAAUAAGCAUCUUUAAUGAUGCAGAUUUAUUAUUUGUGCGAAUGCAUUAAAUAACAAUUCUAUUAAGCUGAUGCUUCAAUUAAUGAAGUUAUU